AAGAGCUCUUCCGGUCUCCCCACAGCUCGUGGGGUGCCCAGGAAUGCCAGCAGACAGUCCAGUGCAGGAAAAGAUGCAUUCUGAGAAAUAAUAUGACAACUGAACAAAUAAACCUCUAAGGAGGCUUCUAGCAACAGCCCCCCCCCAUGGAUUUCCAGAUACUGCGCUCUGUGAGGACAGCCACACCUUCUGACCUGUUUAACGACAUUCCCGACAUUCCCGAGGCCUGCGCAAGGCAGAGCAGAGCCUGAACAAUUACAUGCUGAGCGAAUUAGGUGUCAUCAUCCUCGCUCCCUUCCGCCUCACACCACCCCUCCGCUGUCAAGCCACAUCUCAUUCCCCAGCUGUCUCAUCUACCGCAUACCCCCCAGAGCCUCA
Long non-coding RNA from Suricata suricatta (meerkat), 378 nucleotides. RefSeq lists it as uncharacterized. Lineage: Eukaryota; Metazoa; Chordata; Mammalia; Carnivora; Herpestidae. The record is from RefSeq and is a predicted model, not a curated record. The transcript has 3 exons.